RNAcentral lists this ribosomal RNA (253 nucleotides) under uncultured bacterium. Its description in RNAcentral is "partial 16S ribosomal RNA". It matches the Rfam family "Bacterial small subunit ribosomal RNA", at positions 524 to 776 of the family's 1533-position model. The record is from RNAcentral.
UACAGAGGGGGCAAGCGUUAUUCGGAAUUAUUGGGCGUAAAGGGCGCGUAGGCGGCUUGGCAAGUGGAUGGUGAAAUCCCUCGGCUUAACCGAGGAACUGCCGUCCAAACUGCUUCGCUUGAGACCGGGAGAGGUGAGUGGAAUUCCCAGUGUAGCGGUGAAAUGCGUAGAUAUCGGGAGGAACACCAGUGGCGAAGGCGGCUCACUGGACCGGUACUGACGCUGAGGUGCGAAAGCGUGGGGAGCAAACAGG